Molecule: ribosomal RNA, 918 nt
Filed under: uncultured bacterium
Lineage: Bacteria
Description: bacterial SSU rRNA
Rfam family: Bacterial small subunit ribosomal RNA
Source: RNAcentral
CGUGCUUAACACAUGCAAGUCGAGCGAGAACGCGGGUCUUCGGACUCGUUAGUAGACCGGCGACGGGUGAGUAACACGUGAGUAACGUACCCCGGGGUGGGGGAUAACAGUGCGAAAGCGCUGCUAAUACCGCAUGAGACCACAGCACUUCCGAGUGCAGUGGGAAAAGAGGGCCUCUGUUUCAAGCUCUUGCCCUGGGAUCGGCUCGCGCCCGAUUAGCUAGUUGGUGAGGUAAUGGCUCACCAAGGCUCCGAUCGGUAGCUGGUCUGAGAGGAUGAUCAGCCACACUGGAACUGAGACACGGUCCAGACUCCUACGGGAGGCAGCAGUGGGGAAUCUUGCGCAAUGGGCGAAAGCCUGACGCAGCAACGCCGCGUGUGUGAUGAAGGCCUUCGGGUUGUAAAGCACUGUCAAGGGGGAAGAACCGGUGCACAGCUAAUACCUGUGCGCCCUGACGGUACCCCUGAAGGAAGCACCGGCUAACUCCGUGCCAGCAGCCGCGGCAAUACGGAGGGUGCGAGCGUUGUUCGGAAUCAUUGGGCGUAAAGCGCGUGUAGGCGGGAUGGUAAGUUGGGUGUGAAAGCCCGGGGCUCAACCCCGGAACUGCGCUCAAAACUGCCUUUCUCGAGUACGGGAGGGGGAAGCGGAAUUCUUGGUGUAGGGGUGAAAUCCGUAGAUAUCAGGAGGAACACCGAUGGCGAAGGCAGCUUCCUGGACCGAUACUGACGCUGGGACGCGAAAGCGUGGGGAGCAAACAGGAUUAGAUACCCUGGUAGUCCACGCCGUAAACGAUGUUCACUAGGUGCAGCGGGUGUUGACUCCGGCUGUGCCGUAACUAACGCGUUAAGUGAACCGCCUGGGGAGUACGGCCGCAAGGCUAAAACUCAAGGAAUUGACGGGGGCCCGCACAAGCGGUUG